Molecule: ribosomal RNA, 250 nt
Filed under: uncultured prokaryote
Description: partial 16S ribosomal RNA
Rfam family: Bacterial small subunit ribosomal RNA
Source: RNAcentral
UACAGAGGUCCCUAGCGUUGUUCGGAUUUACUGGGCGUAAAGGGCGCGUAGGCGGCCAGGCAAGCCAAGUGUGAAAUCUCCGGGCUCAACCCGGAACGUGCGCUUGGGACUGCCGGGCUCGAGUGCGGAAGGGGGAAUCGGAAUGCAGGGUGUAGCGGUAAAAUGCGUUGAUAUCCUGCAGAGCACCGGAGGCGAAGGCGGAUUCCUUGUACGCAACUGACGCUGAGGCGCGAAAGUCGGGGGAGCAAAC